RNAcentral lists this ribosomal RNA (774 nucleotides) under uncultured Neocallimastigales. Its description in RNAcentral is "partial large subunit ribosomal RNA". It matches the Rfam family "Eukaryotic large subunit ribosomal RNA", at positions 22 to 644 of the family's 3401-position model. The record is from RNAcentral. Lineage: Eukaryota; Fungi; Neocallimastigomycota; Neocallimastigomycetes; Neocallimastigales.
AUAUCAGUCAUGCAUAGCAUAUCAAUAAGCGGAGGAAAAGAAACUAACAAGGAUUUCCCCUAGUAACGGCGAGUGAAGCGGGAAGAGCUCAAAUUUGAAAUCUUAAAGGGUUUCCCUUUACGAAUUGUAGUUUAAAGAAGUGUUUUCUGUUGGAGUUUUGGUAAAAGUUCUUUGGAAUAGGACAUCAUAGAGGGUGAGAAUCCCGUAUUUGACCAUUAUUUCCAGCUGUGUGAUACACUUUCAACGAGUCGGAUUGUUUGGGAAUGCAGUCCAAAAUGGGUGGUAAAUUUCAUCUAAAGCUAAAUAUUGGCGAGAGACCGAUAGCGAACAAGUACCGUGAGGGAAAGAUGAAAAGAACUUUGAAAAGAGAGUUAAACAGUACGUGAAAUUGUCAAAAGGGAAGCGUUUGACACCAGUGUUGUUUUUCCGAAAAUCAAUUACGAAUGUUUUGUUUUUGAGGAGUUAUGACUUCAUCGGCUUGCUCCUUUCUUUACGAAACUUUCUUAAUGCACUUUUCGGUUAACAAGUCAACAUCAAUUUCUUUUGUUGUAAAAGGGUAUGAGGAAGGUGGCUUUCUUUUCGGAGAAAGUGUUUAUAGCCUUGUGCCUCUGCAAUCGGAGAGAUUGAGGUCUGCAGCGUAGAUCCUUCGGGGUUAGAUACAUUUGUGCUAAGUUAUAGCUUUUCAUAGACAACUUGUUGACUAUGUUUAGUCUUGUAGCUUACUCGCUGACGCUAUUUUACCUACGCUUAGGAUGUUGAUCUCUCACAGUCGAG